UAUUCUCUGAUGUUUGCCAUUAC
RNAcentral lists this non-coding RNA (23 nucleotides) under Arabidopsis thaliana (thale cress). The record is from RNAcentral. Lineage: Eukaryota; Viridiplantae; Streptophyta; Magnoliopsida; Brassicales; Brassicaceae.